This 148-nucleotide small RNA is filed under the name Macaca mulatta (Rhesus monkey). Its description in RNAcentral is "Metazoan signal recognition particle RNA (ENSMMUG00000060956.1)". It matches the Rfam family "Metazoan signal recognition particle RNA". Rfam says of the family: The signal recognition particle (SRP) is a universally conserved ribonucleoprotein. Lineage: Eukaryota; Metazoa; Chordata; Mammalia; Primates; Cercopithecidae. The record is from Rfam by way of RNAcentral.
GCUGGGCGUGGUGGCACACGCCUGUAAUCCCAGCUACUUGGGAGGCUGAGGCAGGAGAAUCACUUGAACCCGGGAGGCGGAGGUUGCAGUGAGCCAAGAUCGUGCCACUGCACUCCAGCCUGGGUGACAGAGUGAGACUCUGUCUCAA